This 84-nucleotide non-coding RNA is filed under the name Geminigera cryophila. The record is from RNAcentral. Lineage: Eukaryota; Cryptophyceae; Pyrenomonadales; Geminigeraceae.
AAGUGUUGCUACAUCGGAGGCUGCAGGUUCCCACACACCUACCACACCAGGCUCCGCUGAAAUUGGAAUCGGAUAUCUCGAUGC